Equus caballus (horse) is the source of this 543-nucleotide long non-coding RNA. RefSeq lists it as uncharacterized. NCBI's taxonomy places the organism in Eukaryota, Metazoa, Chordata, Mammalia, Perissodactyla, Equidae. The record is from RefSeq and is a predicted model, not a curated record.
AACACUGGGCUGCCCGCAGCGGAGCGCGCGAACCCAACCACUCGGCCAUGGGGCCAGCCCCCAGAGCUCACUUUUGAUGGCCACGUCGUGUUUGCCUUGAGCAGAGAGUUUCCACCAGUCUCCUUGGAUGGCAAGUUCCAUGAGGAAACAGGCAAAAAGGGCCCUUACCCCAGGCCCAGCCUUUAGAUGGCCACACUCUGGCUCUACUCUGACCACACUCCACCCUACACAGUGAGAAGUCCCUGGGACUGAGAAUGGGUCCACUGGGAGCCCAAGACCCCUCCUGGACUACAACUCAGGUCCCCCAGGCCUCUGCUGGAGGUGGACAAAGGACAGCAGCCCCACCCAGCCGGGCGGGGCUGAGAGACAGGAAUGCUGCUUGGCACAGCUGGCCGAACAGGGGAGACUGUUUAUCCUCUGACGUCGGGAACAUCUCAGACCAUCAGGGGGAUUUGGCUGCAGGCAGCCCCUGGAUGCAAGGUCUCGAAGAAGGCAUUUUCUUUUUUUUUUUUUUUUUGAGGAAGAUUAGCCCUGAGCUAACUA